UACAGAGACUGCAAGCGUUGUUCGGAUUCAUUGGGCGUAACGGGUGCGCAGGCGGUGUGUUAAGUCGGAUGUGAAAUCUCACAGCCUAACUGUGAUAGGUCAUUCGAAACUGGCAUGCUAGAGGACGGGAGAGGAGACUGGAAUGGUCGGUGUAGCGGUGAAAUGCGUAGAGACCGACAAGAACACCGGUGGCGAAGGCGGGUCUCUGGACAGUGCCUGACGCUGAGGCACGAAAGCCAGGGGAGCAAACGGG
This 253-nucleotide ribosomal RNA is filed under the name uncultured bacterium. RNAcentral's name for it is "partial 16S ribosomal RNA". It matches the Rfam family "Bacterial small subunit ribosomal RNA", at positions 524 to 776 of the family's 1533-position model. The record is from RNAcentral.